RNAcentral lists this ribosomal RNA (468 nucleotides) under uncultured bacterium. Its description in RNAcentral is "partial 16S ribosomal RNA". It matches the Rfam family "Bacterial small subunit ribosomal RNA", at positions 28 to 507 of the family's 1533-position model. The record is from RNAcentral.
GACGAACGCUGGCGGCGUGCUUAACACAUGCAAGUCGAACGGAAAGGCCCUGCUUUUGUUGGGUUCUCGAUUGGCGAACGCGUGAGUAACACGUGAGUAACCUGCCCUUAACUUUGGGAUAACUUCACGAAACUCGGGCUAAUACCCGAUAGGAGCUCCUGCUGCAUGUUGGGGGUUGGAAAGUUUCGGCGGUUGGGGAUGGUCUCGCGGCUUAUCAGCUUGUUUGUGGGGUAGUGGCUUACCAAGGCUUUGACGGGUAGCCUGCCUGAGAGGGUGACCGGCGACAUUGGGACUGCGAUACGGCCCAGAAUCCUACGGGCGGCAGCAGUGGGGAAUAUUGCACAAUGGGCGGAAGCCUGAUGCAGAAACGCCGCGUGCGGGAUGACGGCCUUCGGGUUGUAAACCGAUUUCGACUGUGACGAAGCGUGAGUGACGGUAAUGGGUAAAGAAGCAACGGCUAACUACGUG